This 86-nucleotide microRNA precursor is filed under the name Oryza glumipatula. Its description in RNAcentral is "MIR2275 microRNA precursor family". It matches the Rfam family "MIR2275 microRNA precursor family". The record is from Rfam by way of RNAcentral. Lineage: Eukaryota; Viridiplantae; Streptophyta; Magnoliopsida; Poales; Poaceae.
CCAUUUGAAAUGAGGAUUAGAGGAAACUGAACCUUUUGAUAUUCAUCAAAAUGGUUCAGUUCCCUCUAAUAUCUCACUUUGAAUGG